AAAUUCAAAAAAGUAUUUGGCAUUCAUUCAUGACGGCGCCUCGGUACAAAAGACAACGAACUUGCGGCUGAAAAAAAAAAAAAAUAAAUCAGUAUGUAAAGAGUUGGUUAUGUUGGAAAGCAGACAAGCAGGUGGCAGACAACCACAUUUUUGCUGUAAAAUCAAAUCAAAAAGUUUCAAAAGCAAAUUAGUAAUGAAUACUGCUAUCGAGUGCAGCGAGGCUAGUCAAGAAAAAUUCACUACUCUCCUCUGGUUUUAGUUCAGCUGAGAAGUUAGGUAAAUGCAAAAAACAAAUUUGAGUAUUAAACGCCUAAAAGUAGACGCCAAAAAUCACUCUUAAACCGUUCCACAAAUACUAAACCAACGAGCCUGGACGACAAAGCAGACAAAACGCGCGUUAAGAUAUUAAAUACCGUGGCACGUGCUUUAAAUACUAAAUUAACAUCACUUGAGCACUUGCCAAAAAAAAAAAA
Molecule: long non-coding RNA, 473 nt
Organism: Ceratitis capitata (Mediterranean fruit fly)
Lineage: Eukaryota; Metazoa; Arthropoda; Insecta; Diptera; Tephritidae
Exons: 2
Source: RefSeq, a predicted model, not a curated record